This 857-nucleotide non-coding RNA is filed under the name Cerion uva. Lineage: Eukaryota; Metazoa; Mollusca; Gastropoda; Stylommatophora; Cerionidae. The record is from RNAcentral.
UAAGUAUUUUGUUAUGGUCCUGUCCUAUAAAGUUUAACUUGUACUCACAUGGAAGUUUUGAUUAUUUAGUUAAUAUAAUAAUCCGCGGAUUACCAGGGGAUAAUAUUGUACAAUCAUGGAAACAUGAAUACAGCUUGUUAAGUUUAUAUACUAAACCUAAAGAAGUGGCCAAAAUAAGUGCCAGCAGCCGCGGUCACACUUUUACUCAAAUAUAGAACCAAGCAGAGAAUAAAUUGAAGUAAUAUUUAAGAUCCCUAGACUUUACUUGUUCACGGGGGCCCGAUCAGUAAAAUGAUAUGUCCAGCCAUUACGUCUGACUCAAGUUAAUCUUAAAUAAUUUCACUUAGCUGUUACAAACUCUCAAAGAAAACUAGGAUUAGAUACCCUAUUAUUAAGAGCUAGACUAAACUAAUCUCUUAGUAAUAAUACUCUAUAAAGUAUAAACUAAAACAACAUGGCGGUAAAAAACAACUCUCAGGGGAACUUACAGAAUAAAUGAUAAUCACCAAGAUUACCUGUCCUUUAGGCCCACAGCCUGUAUGCCGUCGUCUUCAGGUUUUUUUUUACUAGAAGACCUCGAUCUUUUGCAGGUUUAAUUACCUUUAACCGUAAAAGAAAAAGUCAGAUCAAGGUGCAGCCAAUAUAAAGGGUCAUGCGAGUUACACUUACCUAUUACUAACUUUGGAUGUUAAACAUGAACAAGUUUACUAAAACUGGACUUGAAAGUAAUUAGAUAAGUAAUUUUUAUUUUAUGAAUUGCUACCUGCUUUUUGCGUACAAAUCGCCCGUCACUCUCGUGAUCUACAUGAGAUAAGUCGUAACAUAGUAGGAGUAGGGGAACCUGCUCCUACCCAUAA